GUCGGGGGUGAAAGCCGGGGGCUCAACCACGGAAUGGCAUUCGAUAUUGUUAUGCUUGAGACCGGAAGGGGACAGCGGAAUUGCGAGUGUAGAGGUGAAAUCCGUAGAUAUUCGCAAGAACACCAUUGGCGAAGGCGGCUGUCUGGUCCGGUUCUGACGCUGAGGCGCGAAAGCGUGGG
This 179-nucleotide ribosomal RNA is filed under the name uncultured bacterium. RNAcentral describes it as "partial 16S ribosomal RNA". It matches the Rfam family "Bacterial small subunit ribosomal RNA", at positions 587 to 765 of the family's 1533-position model. The record is from RNAcentral.